RNAcentral lists this microRNA precursor (145 nucleotides) under Equus caballus (horse). RNAcentral's name for it is "microRNA eca-mir-8933 precursor (eca-mir-8933-1, eca-mir-8933-2)". Lineage: Eukaryota; Metazoa; Chordata; Mammalia; Perissodactyla; Equidae. The record is from miRBase by way of RNAcentral.
CUGAUAUUCACAGGUUGUUGACAACAGCGGGGAGUGGGGAGAGGUCAGGAACGCGGGCACAGGCGAGUGCUUUCUCCUCUCCUCGGUCCUUCCCCCGUGGACUCUUGUCCUGCAGCUUCCUCUCCCUUCUAGUUGAUUGCCGUGG